GACGAACGCUGGCGGCGUGCUUAACACAUGCAAGUCGAACGAAGUGGCGGACGGGUGAGUAACGCGUAAUCAACCUGCCCUUCAGAGGGGGACACCAGUGGGAAACGACGGCUAUUACCUCAUACUGAAGGAGGGGAUUGCGUCUGAUUAGCUAGUUGGAGGGGAAACGGCCCACCAAGGCGAUGAUCAGUAGCCGGUCUGAGAGGAUGAACGGCCACAUUGGGACUGAGACACGGCCCAGACUCCUACGGGAGGCAGCAGUGGGGAAUCUUCCGCAAUGGACGAAAGUCUGACGGAGCAACGCCGCGUGAGUGAUGACGGCCUUCGGGUUGUAAAGCUCUGUUAAUCGGGACGCGGUACCGGAAUAGAAAGCCACGGCUAACUACGUGCCAGCAGCCGCGGUAAUUC
Molecule: ribosomal RNA, 408 nt
Filed under: uncultured bacterium
Lineage: Bacteria
Description: partial 16S ribosomal RNA
Rfam family: Bacterial small subunit ribosomal RNA
Source: RNAcentral